This 484-nucleotide ribosomal RNA is filed under the name uncultured bacterium. RNAcentral's name for it is "bacterial SSU rRNA". It matches the Rfam family "Bacterial small subunit ribosomal RNA", at positions 28 to 511 of the family's 1533-position model. The record is from RNAcentral.
GAUGAACGCUGGCGGCGUGCUUAACACAUGCAAGUCGAACGAAGCACUUUAUUACGAUUUCUUCGGAAUGACGAUUUAGUGACUGAGUGGCGGACGGGUGAGUAACGCGUGGGUAACCUGCCUUAUACAGGGGGAUAACAGUUAGAAAUGACUGCUAAUACCGCAUAAGCGCACAGGAUUGCAUGAUCUGGUGUGAAAAACUCCGGUGGUAUAAGAUGGACCCGCGUCUGAUUAGCUGGUUGGUGAGGUAACGGCCCACCAAGGCGACGAUCAGUAGCCGACCUGAGAGGGUGACCGGCCACAUUGGGACUGAGACACGGCCCAAACUCCUACGGGAGGCAGCAGUGGGGAAUAUUGCACAAUGGGGGAAACCCUGAUGCAGCGACGCCGCGUGAGUGAAGAAGUAUUUCGGUAUGUAAAGCUCUAUCAGCAGGGAAGAAAACGACGGUACCUGACUAAGAAGCCCCGGCUAACUACGUGCCAG